UACAGAGGUCUCAAGCGUUGUUCGGAUUCAUUGGGCGUAAAGGGUGUGUAGGUGGCGCGCUAAGUCGGGUGUGAAAUUUCGGAGCUUAACUCCGAAACUGCAUUCGAUACUGCCGUGCUUGAGGACUGGAGAGGAGACUGGAAUUUACGGUGUAGCAGUGAAAUGCGUAGAUAUCGUAAGGAAGACCAGUGGCGAAGGCGGGUCUCUGGACAGUUCCUGACACUGAGGCACGAAGGCCAGGGGAGCAAACGGG
This 253-nucleotide ribosomal RNA is filed under the name uncultured bacterium. RNAcentral's name for it is "partial 16S ribosomal RNA". It matches the Rfam family "Bacterial small subunit ribosomal RNA", at positions 524 to 776 of the family's 1533-position model. The record is from RNAcentral.